UAUAAAAGGUGGGCUGGAGAACUCAGUUGGGAGGCUGCCAAUGGAGGAGCCAGACCCCUCCUAUGAGCUCCUGAGCUGGGAGGCUGCUGCAGACCCCAAGGGAGCCGAGGACUGGUCAGGACCACCAGGGCCAUUUACAGACCUGAGCACGGAGGAGCUGCAAACGCUGACAGAGGCCUUCUUCCAGGAUGACCCUUUCCAGAGCCAGUACCCCGACGGGGAGUUGGGAAGUGGCCUGGGGUAGCUGACCCCUGUCUGGCUGCAACGCUGAGAGUCAGGCGGAUCCAAGAGGGAUUCUCCAGUGGAUCUACCCUGCAAUCUGAUUACAUGCUUCUCACACCAAUGGUGGCAUACAGGGGAUGUUUGUUUUCUGCAAGCUGAGCCAGAAGAAAAAAACACAGCUGCAGGUAGCAAGGCGUACCAAUAACCUAAGCAGAAGAUUCAUAGCAAGUCAUCUCCAGCUCUAGGUCCGAGGGACAAAUAUUCUGUUGGUUGAGUUCUUCACCCUCCUUUUCUCUAACUGCAAGGAUAUGACCCACUACUCUCAGCAGAGUGACAGUACUUAGCGCUGAAACAGUGGCUAAGGUAAGAAUUUGGUCCAGAUGCCCUAGGACUGCCAGAGGCUCCAGAGCUACUGAGAACCUUGGACAUACUUCAUAAAUUCCCUAGGCCCAGGUCUGCUAUGUAUGCUUUGCCAAUGAAGAGGGACUUUACUGGUCUGGAGUUUUUUGUGGAAAAAGAGCUCUAAUGGUAGAACAUAUUACAGAAUGUUAAAAAUGCUUCUGUGGAUCUCAGGCUACGCCUGGUAUAACAAAAGAGUCUAUUCAAAAUGUAUUGGAUGCCACAAAGGUGGUGCAAGAUGGGGGGCCUUGUCCUCUGUUAGUUCUUUGUGGUGUAACAAAGAAAAAGGAGCCCUGAUGCGUAUGCUAUGGGACUGCCCAACUGUCAGGUAUCUGUGAGACAAGGUGGACGCAAGAGUGGAAGUAGUGGUUGGUUUCAGCAACCAAACCUCAGCUGAAAACUAGAUCCUAGAUUAUGGACCUCCUAUGCCGGGUUUAACUCCACCACAAAGACUUUGGCUCUUGAGAGCUGUAGUGGUUACCAAGCGCUUGAUUUGACAACAAUGGAGGAGCAGGCUUAUGCCCGGAAUAGAUCAGUGAUAUUCAGACCUGUCUGAGGUAGCAGGGAAAGAAAGAAUAGCUUAUCAAUGUAGAGAGCAAUUUAUGAAUUUGAAUAAAUGCAGACCCCAUUUCUCGAUACAUUUGGAUAAAGAAUACUGAGAUAGAUCAAACAAUAUUAGACUUCCAUUCCACCUGCUUUUCCUUUCCCUCCUCCCCCCGGUCUCCUCUUUCCCUUUUUUGCCUGUUUGUGUAUGUCUUUUACUUAAUUUUUAUUUUUUAUUGUUACCCCCACGAUACCAUGUUAUGUCUGUGUAAUAUUGUCUGAUUUUGUAUUGUCUGGUCUUGCAGCUUUGAGAAAAUUGUAAAGUUUUGUUAUUGCAUAAUUUUAUUGGCUAUCCUGUGAAAUGAGCAGCAUGUGGUUGACCUUUUUGUAUUUUGUUUGUUUAUGAAAAUUAAUAAAUUAAUCACAAAAUAGCAGUCC
This is a long non-coding RNA of Chelonia mydas (Green sea turtle), 1602 nucleotides long. RefSeq lists it as uncharacterized. NCBI's taxonomy places the organism in Eukaryota, Metazoa, Chordata, Testudines, Cheloniidae. The transcript is spliced from 4 exons. The record is from RefSeq and is a predicted model, not a curated record.